UGGAUAACCGUAGUAAUUCUAGAGCUAAUACAUGCGUUACGCCAAAACUUCUGGAAUGGCAGUAUUUAUUAGAUAACAAAUCAAUAUUCCUCUGGUCUAUUUGAUGAUUCAUAAUAACUAGCUUAUCGAAUCGCUGGGUUGUACCCGCGAUAAAUCAAUCAAGUUUCUGCCCCAUCAGCUUGAUGGUAGUGUAUUGGACUACCAUGGCUUUUACGGGUAACGGGGGAUUAGGGUUCGACACCGGAGAGGGAGCCUGAGAAACGGCUACCACUUCUACGGAAGGCAGCAGGCGCGUAAAUUACCCAAUCCUAAUUCAGGGAGGUAGUGACAAGAAAUAAUAGACCGGCGUAAGCCGGGUUUACAAUGAGCCUAAUUUACACAGCUUAGUGAGGAUCCAUUGGAGGGCAAGUACUGGUGCCAGCAGCCGCGGUAAUUCCAGCUCCAAUAGCAUAUAUUAAAUUG
Molecule: ribosomal RNA, 462 nt
Filed under: uncultured eukaryote
Lineage: Eukaryota
Description: SSU rRNA
Rfam family: Eukaryotic small subunit ribosomal RNA
Source: RNAcentral